UUUUCCUGUAGAGGAAGCAGGAG
RNAcentral lists this microRNA (23 nucleotides) under Gallus gallus (chicken). Its description in RNAcentral is "gga-miR-7466-3p". The record is from miRBase by way of RNAcentral. Lineage: Eukaryota; Metazoa; Chordata; Aves; Galliformes; Phasianidae.